AAUGGUUCACAGAUCAAGUUCUGGUCAGUUCUGACUUUGUCGAAUUAAACCAGGAGCUUGGAAAUGAAUUUUUGAAUGAAACCAAUUGGGGGAUAAUUGGUUUAUACCAUGGUGAUAACCGAGAGAGGCAAUUGCUAAGUUGUGAUGCACUCAUGCCUCUACUAGAUGCGAACAAUUCCGGAGAAGAAGAAGAAGUGGAAUCGGAAGAGAAGAUUAUUUAUAUUGUUGGAAUUCUUAUAUUGAUGGAGUUGAAGAAGUACAGGGACAAAUAAGCCAAGGCAAGCCACCUUUGAACUCUGAUUGAUGUGGUGUUGGAGGUCAAUUGUUGAUGUCCCUAAGCAUCUUAUUCCUAUAUGUGUUGUUCUCUCUAUGUUGGUCUACGUAUGGUUG
Molecule: long non-coding RNA, 390 nt
Organism: Lolium perenne
Lineage: Eukaryota; Viridiplantae; Streptophyta; Magnoliopsida; Poales; Poaceae
Source: RefSeq, a predicted model, not a curated record